AAGUCGUAACAAGGUUUCCGUAGGUGAACCUGCGGAAGGAUCAUUAAUGAAAUAUGGAGAGGUGUCUGGCUGGCGCAAAUCUUGUCUUUUCGAUGGGAUAAGCAACACCGGUACCUUUUCCUAAUCUUUCCAUCCAAUCCGUUGAACUGUUUGCGCGAACGGCUCCUUAUUUUUGGGAGUCUGGUAGUGUGAAUGUACAUCUUUAUUAUACCCAAUUUAUUACAAGUCUGAAAACACAUAAAUAACAAACGAUAAAACUUUCAACAACGGAUCUCUUGGUUCUC
RNAcentral lists this unclassified non-coding RNA (284 nucleotides) under Phylloporus sp. RNAcentral describes it as "partial contains small subunit ribosomal RNA, internal transcribed spacer 1, and 5.8S ribosomal RNA". The stretch from base 1 to 46 matches the Rfam family "Eukaryotic small subunit ribosomal RNA", at positions 1786 to 1831 of the family's 1831-position model. Lineage: Eukaryota; Fungi; Basidiomycota; Agaricomycetes; Boletales; Boletaceae. The record is from RNAcentral.